This 1017-nucleotide ribosomal RNA is filed under the name Escherichia coli. RNAcentral's name for it is "partial 23S ribosomal RNA". It matches the Rfam family "Bacterial large subunit ribosomal RNA", at positions 317 to 1336 of the family's 2925-position model. The record is from RNAcentral. Lineage: Bacteria; Pseudomonadati; Pseudomonadota; Gammaproteobacteria; Enterobacterales; Enterobacteriaceae.
UCAGUGUGUGUGUUAGUGGAAGCGUCUGGAAAGGCGCGCGAUACAGGGUGACAGCCCCGUACACAAAAAUGCACAUGCUGUGAGCUCGAUGAGUAGGGCGGGACACGUGGUAUCCUGUCUGAAUAUGGGGGGACCAUCCUCCAAGGCUAAAUACUCCUGACUGACCGAUAGUGAACCAGUACCGUGAGGGAAAGGCGAAAAGAACCCCGGCGAGGGGAGUGAAAAAGAACCUGAAACCGUGUACGUACAAGCAGUGGGAGCACGCUUAGGCGUGUGACUGCGUACCUUUUGUAUAAUGGGUCAGCGACUUAUAUUCUGUAGCAAGGUUAACCGAAUAGGGGAGCCGAAGGGAAACCGAGUCUUAACUGGGCGUUAAGUUGCAGGGUAUAGACCCGAAACCCGGUGAUCUAGCCAUGGGCAGGUUGAAGGUUGGGUAACACUAACUGGAGGACCGAACCGACUAAUGUUGAAAAAUUAGCGGAUGACUUGUGGCUGGGGGUGAAAGGCCAAUCAAACCGGGAGAUAGCUGGUUCUCCCCGAAAGCUAUUUAGGUAGCGCCUCGUGAAUUCAUCUCCGGGGGUAGAGCACUGUUUCGGCAAGGGGGUCAUCCCGACUUACCAACCCGAUGCAAACUGCGAAUACCGGAGAAUGUUAUCACGGGAGACACACGGCGGGUGCUAACGUCCGUCGUGAAGAGGGAAACAACCCAGACCGCCAGCUAAGGUCCCAAAGUCAUGGUUAAGUGGGAAACGAUGUGGGAAGGCCCAGACAGCCAGGAUGUUGGCUUAGAAGCAGCCAUCAUUUAAAGAAAGCGUAAUAGCUCACUGGUCGAGUCGGCCUGCGCGGAAGAUGUAACGGGGCUAAACCAUGCACCGAAGCUGCGGCAGCGACGCUUAUGCGUUGUUGGGUAGGGGAGCGUUCUGUAAGCCUGCGAAGGUGUGCUGUGAGGCAUGCUGGAGGUAUCAGAAGUGCGAAUGCUGACAUAAGUAACGAUAAAGCGGGUGAAAAGCCCGCUCG